AUGCUCCGCCUCCGGUGCUGCAUCCUCGCCCGCCUCCGCUCAUCUCCCGCCACCUCUCAGGGCUCCUAUCUCCACCGCGCCAUCUCUGCCGCCGCCGCCGCGCCCGUCAUCUCCCCAAACCCUAGCUUCGCCGUGGACGACUACCUCGUCGAGACCUGCGGCCUCACUCGAGCGCAGGCACUCAAGGCCUCCCCCAAGCUCUCCCACCUCAAAUCCCCCACCAAGCCCGCCGCCGUCCUCUCCUUCCUCGCCGCCCAGGGCUUCUCCAGCUCCGACGUUGCCGCCGUCGUCGCGGGAGACCCCAAGGUACUCUGCUCCAGAGUGGACGGAUACCUUGGCCCCGUCGUCGCCCAGCUCACCGGCCUCGGUCUCUCGCGUUCUCAGAUCGCGCGCCUCAUCUCCUGCUGCCACGGCAACUUACAUCUCACAUCCAUCGUCUCCAAGCUGCAGUACUACAUGCCCCUCUUCGGUUCCAUCGACAACACCCUCCGAGCUCUCAAGGGCCACUUUUACCUUAUCUCGUCUAACCUUGAGAGGGUGGUCAAGCCCAACGUCGCAACCCUGCGGGACUCGGGGCUGGGUGAUUGCGACAUUGCCAAGUUGUGCUUAGCUCAUACACGGCUGCUCACCACCAGUGUAGAAUCCAUCCGGGCAAUCGUGGCAUGCGCUGAAAGUCUUGGUGUGCCCCGUGGAUCUCGGAUGUUCAGGCAUGCGGUGUGUGCUGUUGCAUUCCUCGGCGUGGACAAGAUCGCCGCCAAAGUGGUGUAUUUGAAGAAAACCUUUAGGUGGUCAGAUGCUCAGGUCGGCAUUGCUGUGUCCAAGUUUCCACCCUUGCUGAGGAGGUCUAAGGAUUCUCUGCAGAGGAGGUCAGAGUUCCUCAUCUCUGAGGUGGGGCUGGAACCGACAUACAUUGCUCAUCGUCCGAUGUUGCUCUCUUACAGCCUGGAGGGCCGGCUCAGGCCCCGGUACUAUGUUGUAAAGUUUCUCAAGGAAAACGGAUUUCUAAAUCAUGACCGGGAUUACUAUAAUACACUCAAUAUCAGCGAGAAGACAUUCAUGGAGAAGUUCGUAUGUCCUCAGAAGGAAGCUGCACCCCACCUCGCUGAAGACUAUGCCGGUGCUUGCAGAGGGGAAGUGCCCACUAGAUUCAGAAUUGCAUGA
Molecule: ribosomal RNA, 1161 nt
Filed under: Triticum aestivum (bread wheat)
Lineage: Eukaryota; Viridiplantae; Streptophyta; Magnoliopsida; Poales; Poaceae
Description: partial small subunit ribosomal RNA
Source: RNAcentral